AAAAAGGUUACAAGGUUUCCGUAGGUGAACCUGCGGAAGGAUCAUUACCGAGUGAGGGCCCUCUGGGUCCAACCUCCCACCCGUGUUUAUUUUACCUUGUUGCUUCGGCGGGCCCGCCUUAACUGGCCGCCGGGGGGCUUACGCCCCCGGGCCCGCGCCCGCCGAAGACACCCUCGAACUCUGUCUGAAGAUUGUAGUCUGAGUGAAAAUAUAAAUUAUUUAAAACUUUCAACAACGGAUCUCUUGGUUCCGGCAUCGAUGAAGAACGCAGCGAAAUGCGAUACGUAAUGUGAAUUGCAAAUUCANGUGAAUCAUCGAGUCUUUGAACGCACAUUGCGCCCCCUGGUAUUCCGGGGGGCAUGCCUGUCCGAGCGUCAUUGCUGCCCUCAAGCACGGCUUGUGUGUUGGGCCCCGUCCUCCGAUCCCGGGGGACGGGCCCGAAAGGCAGCGGCGGCACCGCGUCCGGUCCUCGAGCGUAUGGGGCUUUGUCACCCGCUCUGUAGGCCCGGCCGGCGCUUGCCGAUCAACCCAAAUUUUU
This 538-nucleotide ribosomal RNA is filed under the name Penicillium chrysogenum. Its description in RNAcentral is "eukaryotic LSU rRNA". The stretch from base 224 to 377 matches the Rfam family "5.8S ribosomal RNA". Lineage: Eukaryota; Fungi; Ascomycota; Eurotiomycetes; Eurotiales; Aspergillaceae. The record is from RNAcentral.